RNAcentral lists this ribosomal RNA (460 nucleotides) under uncultured bacterium. RNAcentral describes it as "partial 16S ribosomal RNA". It matches the Rfam family "Bacterial small subunit ribosomal RNA", at positions 338 to 795 of the family's 1533-position model. The record is from RNAcentral.
CCUACGGGAGGCAGCAGUGAGGAAUAUUGGUCAAUGGGCGCGAGUCUGAACCAGCCAAGUAGCGUGAAGGAUGACUGCCCUAUGGGUUGUAAACUUCUUUUAUAUGGGAAUAAAACGUUCCACGUGUGGGAUUUUGUAUGUACCAUAUGAAUAAGGAUCGGCUAACUCCGUGCCAGCAGCCGCGGUAAUACGGAGGAUCCGAGCGUUAUCCGGAUUUAUUGGGUUUAAAGGGAGCGUAGGUGGAUUGUUAAGUCAGUUGUGAAAGUUUGCGGCUCAACCGUAAAAUUGCAGUUGAAACUGGCAGUCUUGAGUACAGUAGAGGUGGGCGGAAUUCGUGGUGUAGCGGUGAAAUGCUUAGAUAUCACGAAGAACUCCGAUUGCGAAGGCAGUUCACUGGACUGCAACUGACACUGAGGCUCGAAAGUGUGGGUAUCAAACAGGAUUAGAUACCCGUGUAGUC